GUACACUGAAAAAAAGGGACUGGCCAUCUCUUGGAUUUAUGUAAGCAUCUUGCAUGUAUUUAACACAAUUGCCUCAUGUUUUAAAGUUAAAUGUCACUAUAUAGUGUAAAAACUACAUGAUAUGCAGAAAGGGUGUAUUAAAUUGUUCAUAUCAUGUUCAGGUGAAGUAAGUUAAUAAGAUAGCAACGUUAAAUCUCGUGAAACCACGCGUGAUUUCAUCUCGCGGGCUUUGGAUCGUGGUUUAAAAAAGGCAUCCAUCUCAGUCAAGUCGAGCAGCCAACUCUACGUUUUUGGUAUGUCUUGAUUUUUUGAAUUAAUUUUUACCAUAUUUCAGCCAAAUGUAGUUAAACGUCUAGAGUGUCGCCAUGUAACAUGCUAAAAAAGAGCCGUUAGCUUAUUUGCUGUUUUAUCUGUUGUCAAAGAAUUGGCGCUUUUUCAUUUGAAUUUGUCUUUGGCACAAGAGCCGUAAUAUCACAUUAAACCUAAUUACGAGGCACUCAUAACAUAAUUUGGUUUUCUGUGUGAAUAGAUUUGCCAACUGACUCUUCAGUUACAUUGUGUAUUUACUGCACCGUGGUGUUAGUGAGAUUUUGGACAUUGAACAGCUUUAGCUAAUAUCAUCAGCGGCAUUAUGCUAGCUUACAUCCCUACCCCUCCUGCCCUCACCUGCUGUCCUUUUGUUUUUGUUUUUUUUGCUGCACAUUGAGAGACGACCUCUAUUCUGCAUUUCACCAGGAGUCAGCUGAUGGAUUGUGGGUUCAAGGUGUUAUGAUGAAAUGCAGCAUUCCAGUGCAUCCCAACCAUGCAUACAGUCAAGGUUUCUGACGGAGCUGAGUUUCUCUCUGACAGUCUACUGAAAGUGUUUGCAAAGUGAUCGGGGGAACAGGGCACAAAGCUAAUGGAUGUAGCUGCCAUUAUGACAGAUGACAUUAAUGCUCGGAGUCCCUCAUCAAAGUGCUCCGCAUCUGUGUGAAAGACAAUUGCAACAUCUUGGUGCAGGAGUUCAUGGACUUGACUGAGGCCACUGCACAGAUUGAGAAAACCACAAUGAACAUCUGUCUCCAGAGAUGCGCCAGGCAAUGACUUUUCUGAUGUUGUUCUUCAAGAUCUGGAUAACGUGACCUUUGCAGUAGC
Long non-coding RNA from Astatotilapia calliptera (eastern happy), 1134 nucleotides. The record is from Ensembl. NCBI's taxonomy places the organism in Eukaryota, Metazoa, Chordata, Actinopteri, Cichliformes, Cichlidae.